UUCUGACCGUAAACGAUGCCAACUAUCAAUCCGCUAGUGGCUUUUAGUCAUUGGCGGGCGGAUCGACGGAAACGAAAGUUUUUCGGUUCCGGGGGAAGUAUGGUUGCAAAGCUGAAACUUAAAGGAAUUGACGGAAGGGCACCACCAGGAGUGGAGCUUGCGGCUUAAUUUGACUCAACACGGGAAAUCUCACCCGGCCAGUACAUCAUAAGGAUUGACAGAUUGAAAGCUCUUUCAUGAUUUGAUGAAUGGUGGUGCAUGGCCGUUCUUAGUUCGUGGCGUGAGUCGUCUGCUUAAUUGCGAUAACGAGCGAGACUCCGACUGCUAAAUACCAGUGGGAUUUUUUUGUCCCUCGCGGUUCUUAGCUGGAUUCGCGGCUUCAAGCCGCAAGAAAUGGAGCAAUAACAGGUCUGUGAUGCCCUUAGAUGUUCGGGGCGGCACGCGUGCUACAAUGAUGAUAACAGCAUGCUUGUGCUCGACCGACAGGUCUUGCCAAACAUAUGAGAUAUUAUUAUGGCUGGAAUUGAGUGUUGAAACUUUCUCUCAUGAACGAGGAAUUCCAAGUAAAUGCAAGUCAUCAACUUGCAUUG
Molecule: ribosomal RNA, 590 nt
Filed under: cf. Aphelenchoides sp. 804L-002
Lineage: Eukaryota; Metazoa; Nematoda; Chromadorea; Rhabditida; Aphelenchoididae
Description: SSU rRNA
Rfam family: Eukaryotic small subunit ribosomal RNA
Source: RNAcentral